Schistosoma haematobium is the source of this 45-nucleotide non-coding RNA. Lineage: Eukaryota; Metazoa; Platyhelminthes; Trematoda; Strigeidida; Schistosomatidae. The record is from Rfam.
AUCCAGCUGACGAGUCCCGAAUAGGAUGAAACGCGUGUCCUGGAU